GUGUUGUUAAUGAGUUUAGUGUUAGACCAGGUUGUUGGGGUUAGUUAUUUGCGUGAGGGAGGGUGGCGGCGGCGGGUCUCCCCGUACCGCCAACCUCCACGCAGUGUUCGCGUUACAGUUCACACAAGAUUGGUGGGGGGUCGCCCUUACGGGCUCCUCCCCGAAUCUCUUUGAUGAUCCUUCCGCAGGUUCACCUACGGAAA
RNAcentral lists this unclassified non-coding RNA (203 nucleotides) under uncultured fungus. RNAcentral describes it as "sequence contains ITS1". The record is from RNAcentral. Lineage: Eukaryota; Fungi.